AUGCAAAGCAACAUUCGUUUGGUCGUCUUUUUUUGGGGGGGUCGCCUAUGUAAGUCAGAAGACGAGGAGGUGUUUGAGGAGAUUCGACGGCUCCGUCUGGAGAGAGGCCGCCUGCUCCAGAAGAUCAAAGCCUUGGAGCAGCAGCAGCAGAGUGCCAUCUCUGCCUUGGGAGAGUUGUCCCAACUGAAGCAGCGUCUGAAGGAGGCUGAGGCACAGAGGGACAACCUGCUAGAGGAGCUAAACGGAGGCCAUGGUAUAGGGGCCAGUGACUCUGAGGACAUGGACGAAAUGCUGGACUUCCCAGAGAAGCUGCUCUCCAAGCACUCCAGAGCCUCCCCUGCUCAGGGCGAGGACACUGACUCAGCCAGUCCCUCUCCCGCCCCUGCAGACCCAGGAACUGUUGCUGAGCUGCAAACACAAAUAGAGGAACUGACCUUGCAGAACUCCGAACUUGUUCUCAAAGUACAGGUAACGUCAGCGAGAGCACGAAUACAUGCACCUAUGCACAAAAAGAAAAAGAAAAAACACGUAUUCAACUGACAAUAAAUAUACAAAAUAUAAAAAU
This 565-nucleotide long non-coding RNA is filed under the name Scophthalmus maximus (turbot). RNAcentral's name for it is "lncRNA (ENSSMAG00000030443.1)". The record is from RNAcentral. Lineage: Eukaryota; Metazoa; Chordata; Actinopteri; Pleuronectiformes; Scophthalmidae.